UUUUUUUCGGAGCUGGGGACCGAACCCAGGGCCUUGCGCUUCCUAGGUAAGCGCUCUACCACUGAGCUAAAUCCCCAACCCCCAUCUGCAUUACUCUUAUCCAGCCUCUGCUCAUAAGAGAGUAUCUCUGCCAGAGGGUUGGAAACGAGGCUACAAGCUGAAACGGCGAGUUGCAAUUCAAGUAUCCAGGCAGGAAACACUUGUUUUAGUGUUUGUUUUCAGUUACUGUGUACUUAAAGGAACAAUGGGAAUACCACCAGUAUGUGAAAUCCGAUGACCUUCCUCCCAAAUUAUUUCUCCCUAAAACUUCAAUAAUUUUCACCAGAUAUCUAUUUGGGUUUAGGGGGUGUCUCCGAGGGGUUUUCAGCUUCCGUGUCCCAGAACAAGGACUUGGACACGUGGAUAGUAGUAAACAAGACAAGAAAGCGGAGAAAAGACACACCCAAGAGAAGCAGGCCAGAACAUUGAUGAUGGGGUUGAUAAGCUACAUUUUCAGCUUGACUUGAUGGAGAAUUUCUAGUGCUGAGGAUCAAAUCCAGAGACUUGUACCUGAUAGGCAUAUAGGCUUAGUUAAUCACAUCUUCAGCCCUUGAGACAAGAUCUCCUAUAACCCAGGUUGGCUUCGAACUGAUGACCUCCUGAGUGCUAGACUACAAGUAUGUACCAUCAUACUUGUACAUUGCCCAGAACAAUUUUUUGUUGUUGUUGUUUUUGUUUUUUUUUCUUUUCUUUUUUUUUUCGGAGCUGGGGACCGAACCCAGGGCGUUGCGCUCGCUAGGCAAGCGCUCUACCGCUGAGCUAAAUCCCCAACCCCCAGAACAAUGUUUUUUAAAUGUAGUAUAUGUAACCUUCAAAUGAUUAACAUAUCUACUGUUAAUUCUGGGCACUAGGGAAUGUUAGGGAAAGUAAAACGGUGAGGAUAGUAUGGGCAUGACAUAGUAAGUGGAACACUGGGAAUGUAGAAAAUGGUUGAGACCUCAACAGUAAGAUAAUCUUGCAUAGAGACUUGAACAAGUGAGAUGCUCAGCUAUAUGGGAGAAGGGGAGUAGAGUCUAGACAGUAAGAUAUAACUGAAUAUAAAGUCUGUUACACUUGUCUCUGGCAGUUUUGAGAAUUUAUAAGAAGGCACGGAUGGCUUGAGCAGAAUGGAUUAGGGAAGAUUUAUAAGUAAGGACCCAGAAAAUAUGAAGAAGUUGAGUCACAAGGGCCAUUUACAGGACUCUGGCUUUUAUUCAGUCUAGGAUGAUGAGUGAUGAAUUCAUAUAUGACUGAAAAGUUUAGCAACUGUAAUCUCAUUUUUCUGAAGGUAUAAAUCCUCUAGAGCUCCACAUCUGCUGGAACUUGGUCCAAGAAUAGAAUCCUAUGAGAAUUCUGAAUGCUUGUGAGAAAACUCUAAGAAAAUAAGACAAGAAUCUUGUGACCUUAAAGAGGAAUUUUAGUCCAGCAAGAUGGCUGCUCUGGCAAGGGAUCACAUCCAAAGAUCUUCUAAGUCUACAGGAACCGGGCAGAAUACAGACAAACUCUGGAUUACAGACCCUCAGUGUUCAACAGUGCUUUGGAAGCCCAGCUUUCAAAGGAGCAGACAGACGGAAGACCUGUGGAGUGGCAGCCAUCAACUUGAGGCACAGGAGGAAGGGCUGCAGAGUUGUGUCCUGAGGAACUGCUCCGCUACAGUGCAUCAUAUUGACCAGAAGACAAUGCCUUUAAUCUCAUGGCUUUUGCACUUGAGUUC
This is a non-coding RNA of Rattus norvegicus (Norway rat), 1732 nucleotides long. Lineage: Eukaryota; Metazoa; Chordata; Mammalia; Rodentia; Muridae. The record is from RefSeq and is a predicted model, not a curated record.